AGUGAACGCUGGCGGUAGGCCUAACACAUGCAAGUCGAACGGCAGCACAGUAAGAGCUUGCUCUUACGGGUGGCGAGUGGCGGACGGGUGAGGAAUACAUCGGAAUCUACUUUUUCGUGGGGGAUAACGUAGGGAAACUUACGCUAAUACCGCAUACGACCUACGGGUGAAAGCAGGGGAUCUUCGGACCUUGCGCGAUUGAAUGAGCCGAUGUCGGAUUAGCUAGUUGGCGGGGUAAAGGCCCACCAAGGCGACGAUCCGUAGCUGGUCUGAGAGGAUGAUCGGCCACACUGGAACUGAGACACGGUCCAGACUCCUACGGGAGGCAGCAGUAGGGAAUAUUGGACAAUGGGCGCAAGCCUGAUCCAGCCAUACCGCGUGAGUGAAGAAGGCCUUCGGGUUGUAAAGCCCUUUUGUUGGGAAAGAAAAGCAGCAGGUUAAUACCCCGCUGUUCUGACGGUACCCAAAGAAUAAGCACCGGCUAACUUCGUG
Molecule: ribosomal RNA, 492 nt
Filed under: uncultured bacterium
Lineage: Bacteria
Description: partial 16S ribosomal RNA
Rfam family: Bacterial small subunit ribosomal RNA
Source: RNAcentral